This 643-nucleotide ribosomal RNA is filed under the name uncultured fungus. RNAcentral describes it as "LSU rRNA". It matches the Rfam family "Eukaryotic large subunit ribosomal RNA", at positions 38 to 667 of the family's 3401-position model. Lineage: Eukaryota; Fungi. The record is from RNAcentral.
GCAUAUCAAUAAGCGGAGGAAAAGAAACUAACAAGGAUUCCCCUAGUAACGGCGAGUGAAGCGGGAAGAGCUCAAAUUUGAAAUCUGGUGGCCUCAGGUCAUCCGAGUUGUAAUCUAUAGAAGUGUUUUCCGUGCUGGCUCAUGUACAAGUCCCUUGGAACAGGGCGUCAUAGAGAGUGAGAAUCCCGUCCUUGACAUGAACUACCAGUGCUCUGUGAUACAUUUUCAACGAGUCGAGUUGUUUGGGAAUGCAGCUCAAAAUGGGUGGUAAAUUCCAUCUAAAGCUAAAUAUUGGCGAGAGACCGAUAGCGAACAAGUACCGUGAGGGAAAGAUGAAAAGCACUUUGGAAAGAGAGUUAAACAGUAUGUGAAAUUGUUGAAAGGGAAACGAUUGAAGUCAGUCGUGCUCUUUGGAUUCAGCCGGUUCUGCCGGUGUACUUCCUUUGAGUGGGGUCAACAUCAGUUUUGAUCGCUGGAUAAAGGCUGGAGGAACGUAGUACCCUCGGGUAAACUUAUAGCCUCCUGUCACAUACAGUGGUUGGGACUGAGGUACGCAGCACGCCUUUAUGGCCGGGAUUCGUCCACGUACGUGCUUAGGAUGUUGACAUAAUGGCUUUAAACGACCCGUCUUGAAACACGGACC